GCAAUAGUGGUUCAAUAGUAGAAUUCUUGCUUUCCAUGCAGAAGACUUGGUUCGAUUCCCAGCCAAUGCA
This 70-nucleotide transfer RNA is filed under the name Loxodonta africana (African savanna elephant). It matches the Rfam family "tRNA". From Rfam's summary of the family: Transfer RNA (tRNA) molecules are approximately 80 nucleotides in length. Their secondary structure includes four short double-helical elements and three loops (D, anti-codon, and T loops). Lineage: Eukaryota; Metazoa; Chordata; Mammalia; Proboscidea; Elephantidae. The record is from Rfam by way of RNAcentral.